AGUCCAGGCGAGGCGGGCUGAGCGGUCUUUCCGCCGGAGCCAGAGAAGCAGCAGUUUACUGCGGGGAACUGUGUCCUCGAACAUGCCGAAAACUCCGAAUUCAGACCUUCACUGUGUGAGAUGGGUUGAUGAACGAAGGAGUGCUGGUGAGGAGGAGCACGUGGUUGGUGGGGGUUGAGACCAGUAUUGAUUUCUGGACAAUGAUGUAACUAUACAGCAGUGAUUUUAGAGAUCGCUGAAAUGGUGGUGCAGCAUGGCUUUGCCCAGGUGGUGCUGAUUGAUCUAAUUAAAUUGGGUCAGAUCAGGUGUUGAAGGAACUUCUGUUCUGCACUGGGUUUAGCAUGAGAAAUGCUGGAGACAAGACUGGAAGGAUCAGGAUGCAUCUUUAUACUAUAAUGAAACGUUUGGAGUGCUGGUCAGUUAGGCUGUGUAAUAUGCACCGUUAAGCAGUCUGUUGCUUUAAUGCCUUAAUUGUCAAGUUUCAUUUACUUCAGUGUAAUGACAACUGGUCAUUUGGAUGAAAUAAAAUUUUAUGAUUUACUACCUGAAGCUGUAAUGUCAAAUUUUCAAUAAAGUGUUUUUGUAAAUGUA
Molecule: long non-coding RNA, 591 nt
Organism: Astyanax mexicanus (Mexican tetra)
Lineage: Eukaryota; Metazoa; Chordata; Actinopteri; Characiformes; Acestrorhamphidae
Exons: 5
Source: RefSeq, a predicted model, not a curated record